UUCCUUUUGAUUAUAAGUCUAUUUUUCUAUCAGUCGACGGUGUUUUCUCUCAUAAUAAAUUAAAAAAAGUUUACAUAACCCCUCCAAAUCAUAUAGGGUGGACUAUUUACCCUCCUAACUAUAAACCGGAUAUUCUUCCUCCUAAGCUUUUCAAAACCGGUUAAAUAACCCCAUCGAGUGACUUUGGAGGGUGGUUUUGUCUUUUGUCUUUUUUUUUAUUUAUUUUUGUUGAAUCGUUAAAAAAUAUAAUAAAUCAUAGAAAAAUAAUUAAAUAGAAAAUCUAAUCUUUUUGGACUCCAUAUAAGUAGAUCUACCAGUAAAUAUAUAAUAUGGUAUGCUUUAGUACAAAGUUUUUGCUCUAACUUUAGAUCUAUAUUUUUUUAAUUAAUUAGAAUAAUUCAUAUAUAUAGUUUCUAUAGUCCAAUUAUAGUGAAAUUUUUUUGAUGAGCUAAUUAUUGUCUGGUUGAAGUAUAGUCCAAAUUUCAUAUCCAUUGGAAUACGUAUAACUUAGUUAUAAAUUUUUUUUAGCUUUAUUCUUGUUAAAUCAAUGUUUUAUCUACAACUAAGAUACACGUGAUCC
Molecule: long non-coding RNA, 580 nt
Filed under: Sorghum bicolor (sorghum)
Lineage: Eukaryota; Viridiplantae; Streptophyta; Magnoliopsida; Poales; Poaceae
Description: long non-coding RNA (SBIC_LNC005471)
Source: RNAcentral